AUUGAACGCUGGCGGCAGGCCUAACACAUGCAAGUCGAACGGUAACAGGGAUCAGCUUGCUGAUUCGCUGACGAGUGGCGGACGGGUGAGUAAUGUCUGGGAAACUGCCUGAUGGAGGGGGAUAACUACUGGAAACGGUAGCUAAUACCGCAUAACGUCGCAAGACCAAAGAGGGGGACCUUUGGGCCUCUUGCCAUCGGAUGUGCCCAGAUGGGAUUAGCUAGUAGGUGGGGUAACGGCUCACCUAGGCGACGAUCCCUAGCUGGUCUGAGAGGAUGACCAGCCACACUGGAACUGAGACACGGUCCAGACUCCUACGGGAGGCAGCAGUGGGGAAUAUUGCACAAUGGGCGCAAGCCUGAUGCAGCCAUGCCGCGUGUAUGAAGAAGGCCUUCGGGUUGUAAAGUACUUUCAGCGGGGAGGAAGGGAGUAAAGUUAAUACCUUUGCUCAUUGACGUUACCCGCAGAAGAAGCACCGGCUAACUCCGUG
This 490-nucleotide ribosomal RNA is filed under the name uncultured bacterium. Its description in RNAcentral is "partial 16S ribosomal RNA". It matches the Rfam family "Bacterial small subunit ribosomal RNA", at positions 30 to 507 of the family's 1533-position model. The record is from RNAcentral.